RNAcentral lists this long non-coding RNA (859 nucleotides) under Equus caballus (horse). Its description in RNAcentral is "lncRNA (ENSECAG00000057415.1)". The record is from RNAcentral. Lineage: Eukaryota; Metazoa; Chordata; Mammalia; Perissodactyla; Equidae.
CCGGGGGCUGGGGGCCCGAGGCCGAGGCCGAGGCCGGCCCGCCCCGCGCGCGUCCCCCGCCCGGCGUCCCCCCGCGCAUUCCAGUCGUGCCACAGCCCGGCCAAGGCCCGGCCGCCGCCGGCAUGCUGGCGGGGACGCGGCGGGUCGGGCAGCAGCGGUCAGGCCUUGCCCGGGAAGGGUGUCUCCGGGGACCGCGACCCGCCCACCAGCCGAGGCCCUCCUAAGGAAGGAAGCCCCCUGCUAAGAAGCGGGCGGAGCGGGGGUGGAAAGGGGUCUCCUGGGACAGAGCGUCCCCGAGUGGGCCGGGAGCGGUUUGUGAGACGGGGCAGUGGGGACACUGUCCACGGUGAAACGAAUCGCAGCGGCCGUGAUUCGCAGCCUCCUGUUCCUGAGGCUGCUCCUCACGGGAAGAUCAUUUCAUGCGAGAGUUUAAGAAUUGGAAGUUGGUUCCAGAAGUGUCUCCAGUGACCUCGCAUCGCCCUAGGCGCGGUAGGAGAGCCAGGACGAGGGCCCUCGGCGCUGUGCAGCGUUCUGGAAAGUCUUGAAAGCCCACUAGGGCGACAAAGGUUCGAGGCCCGAGCGCUGUUAUGCAGGUCACUUGACUCAGUCCAGACCGAGAUGCCCCCCGCCCCGCAUCGCCGCCGCCAGGUUUUAUUCAGACUUUCGGAUAUAUCGUCAAAGUUCAACAUCUGGGAACAUAUUGGAAAGUCAUAUUUUUUAACUUGAAAUUAUACUUGGACAAGUCUGAGAAGAGCAAGAAUUUUUUCACAAGGUGUGAGAUGCUGAGCCAGCUGUGUAGUCAAUCACUUGUGCUCCUACCGUCUCAGUGUCCUGACUACUAAGGAGGGUUGGGCUACAG